Caenorhabditis elegans is the source of this 128-nucleotide non-coding RNA. Lineage: Eukaryota; Metazoa; Nematoda; Chromadorea; Rhabditida; Rhabditidae. The record is from Ensembl.
CACACUCGUUUCUACCGUAAUCCGUCAAUUUGCCAUUUCAUUCUCGUCAUCCACAAACACGUGGCGGUGAAUGUGAGGAAGAUGAAGAAGCCGUGUGCAAUUUGAGUGUGUUUUACGAUCAUUUUAUU